Molecule: ribosomal RNA, 253 nt
Filed under: uncultured bacterium
Lineage: Bacteria
Description: partial 16S ribosomal RNA
Rfam family: Bacterial small subunit ribosomal RNA
Source: RNAcentral
UACGUAGGGGGCAAGCGUUGUCCGGAAUUAUUGGGCGUAAAGAGCGCGUAGGCGGUCCGAUAAGUCGGCUGUGAAAGUCAGGGGCUCAACCCUUGGAAGCCGGCCGAUACUGUCGGACUAGAGUCCGGAAGAGGCGAGUGGAAUUCCCGGUGUAGCGGUGAAAUGCGUAGAUAUCGUAAGGAAGACCAGUGGCGAAGGCGGGUCUCUGGACAGUUCCUGACGCUGAGGCACGAAGGUCAGGGGAGCAAACGGG